This 552-nucleotide ribosomal RNA is filed under the name uncultured bacterium. RNAcentral describes it as "bacterial SSU rRNA". It matches the Rfam family "Bacterial small subunit ribosomal RNA", at positions 55 to 643 of the family's 1533-position model. The record is from RNAcentral.
AUGCAAGUCGAACGAGAAAGCCGCAAGGUGAGUAAAGUGGCGUACGGGUGAGUAACACGUGGAUGAUCUGCCCUUUAGUGGGGAAUACCGUUGGGAAACCGACGACAAUACCGCAUAAGCUCGAGAGAGGAAAGCAGCAAUGCGCUGAAGGAGGAGUCCGCGGCUGAUUAGCUAGUUGGUAGGGUAAAAGCCUACCAAGGCUGUGAUCGGUAGCCGGCCUGAGAGGGCACACGGCCACACUGGCACUGAAACACGGGCCAGACCCCUACGGGAGGCAGCAGUGGGGAAUCUUGCACAAUGGGGGAAACCCUGAUGCAGCGACGCCGCGUGAGCGAUGAAGCCCUUCGGGGUGUAAAGCUCUUUCGGCAGGGACGAUAAUGACGGUACCUGCAGAAGCAGCUGCGGCUAACUACGUGCCAGCAGCCGCGGUAAUACGUAGGCAGCAAGCGUUGUUCGGAGUUACUGGGCGUAAAGGGUGCGUAGGCGGUCCUGUAAGUAUGGUGUGAAAUCUCCCGGCUUNACUGGGAGGGUGCGCUAUAGACUGCGGGACUA